RNAcentral lists this unclassified non-coding RNA (256 nucleotides) under fungal sp. Its description in RNAcentral is "partial internal transcribed spacer region". The stretch from base 1 to 46 matches the Rfam family "Eukaryotic small subunit ribosomal RNA", at positions 1786 to 1831 of the family's 1831-position model. The record is from RNAcentral. Lineage: Eukaryota; Fungi.
AAGUCGUAACAAGGUAACCGUAGGUGAACCUGCGGUUGGAUCAUUAAUGAAUCUUUUUUUGAUUGGAUCUGAGCGUGGCGUCCCUUUUUGGGGGACGACGUGUUCAGGUCUUCAUCAACCAACCCCUUCAUUUUAUUUUUUUUAAUACUGUCUUUUUCACAUUGUUUUUGGGAACGACAUUGGAAACAUUUCCAAUGUGGGACCUGUUGAAAAUGAAAAAACAAAACAACUUUUGGCAACGGAUCUCUUGGCUCUC